This 468-nucleotide ribosomal RNA is filed under the name uncultured bacterium. RNAcentral describes it as "partial 16S ribosomal RNA". It matches the Rfam family "Bacterial small subunit ribosomal RNA", at positions 28 to 507 of the family's 1533-position model. The record is from RNAcentral.
GACGAACGCUGGCGGCGUGCUUAACACAUGCAAGUCGAACGGAAAGGCCCUGCUUUUGUGGGGUGCUCGAGUGGUGAACGGGUGAGUAACACGUGAGUAACCUGCCCUUGACUUUGGGGUAACUUCAGGAAACUGGGGCUAAUACCGGAUAGGAGCUCCUGCUGCAUGGUGGGGGUUGGAAAGUUUCAGCGGUUGGGGAUGGACUCGCGGCUUAUCAGCUUGUUGGUGGGGUAGUGGCUUACCAAGGCUUUGACGGGUAGCCGGCCUGAGAGGGUGACCGGCCACAUUGGGACUGAGAUACGGCCCAGACUCCUACGGGAGGCAGCAGUGGGGAAUAUUGCACAAUGGGCGGAGGCCUGAUGCAGCAACGCCGCGUGCGGGAUGACGGCCUUCGGGUUGUAAACCGCUUUCGCCUGUGACGAAGCGUGAGUGACGGUAAUGGGUAAAGAAGCACCGGCUAACUACGUG